Molecule: ribosomal RNA, 164 nt
Filed under: Sinosenecio pyrolifolius
Lineage: Eukaryota; Viridiplantae; Streptophyta; Magnoliopsida; Asterales; Asteraceae
Description: Sinosenecio pirolifolius 5.8S ribosomal RNA
Rfam family: 5.8S ribosomal RNA
About the family: 5.8S ribosomal RNA (5.8S rRNA) is a component of the large subunit of the eukaryotic ribosome. It is transcribed by RNA polymerase I as part of the 45S precursor that also contains 18S and 28S rRNA. Functionally, it is thought that 5.8S rRNA may be involved in ribosome translocation.
Source: RNAcentral
CAAACGACUCUCGGCAACGGAUAUCUCGGCUCACGCAUCGAUGAAGAACGUAGCAAAAUGCGAUACUUGGUGUGAAUUGCAGAAUCCCGUGAACCAUCGAGUUUUUGAACGCAAGUUGCGCCCGAAGCCUUUCGGCCGAGGGCACGUCUGCUUGGGCGUCACAC